Molecule: ribosomal RNA, 428 nt
Filed under: uncultured bacterium
Lineage: Bacteria
Description: bacterial SSU rRNA
Rfam family: Bacterial small subunit ribosomal RNA
Source: RNAcentral
GUAGGGAAUAUUGCACAAUGGAGGAAACUCUGAUGCAGCGACGCCGCGUGAGUGAUGAAGGCCUUCGGGUCGUAAAGCUCUGUCGCAGGGGAAUAACACAAUGAAGGUACCCUGUAAGAAAGGAUCGGCUAACUUCGUGCCAGCAGCCGCGGUAAGACGAGGGAUCCUAGCGUUGUUCGGAAUCAUUGGGCGUAAAGCGGAUGUAGGUGGCUAUGUAAGUCAGAUGUGAAAGCCUGGGGCUCAACCCCAGAAGUGCAUUUGAUACUGCGUAGCUUGAGUGUCGGAGAGGUUACUAGAAUUGUUGGUGUAGUGGUGAAAUACGUAGAUAUCAACAGGAAUACCGGAGGCGAAGGCGGGUAACUUGCCGAACACUGACACUGAGAUCCGAAAGCGUGGGGAUCAAACAGGAUUAGAUACCCCAGUAGUCC